GCGGGAGUGGCGGAACUGGCAGACGCGCAAGGCUUAGGACCUUGUGCCCGUAAGGGCCUGGGGGUUCGAGUCCCCCCUCCCGCACCA
This 87-nucleotide transfer RNA is filed under the name Planctomycetota bacterium. RNAcentral's name for it is "Planctomycetes bacterium (freshwater metagenome) tRNA-Leu". It matches the Rfam family "tRNA". From Rfam's summary of the family: Transfer RNA (tRNA) molecules are approximately 80 nucleotides in length. Their secondary structure includes four short double-helical elements and three loops (D, anti-codon, and T loops). Lineage: Bacteria; Pseudomonadati; Planctomycetota. The record is from RNAcentral.